Long non-coding RNA from Osmerus eperlanus (European smelt), 1436 nucleotides. RefSeq lists it as uncharacterized. The transcript is spliced from 3 exons. The record is from RefSeq and is a predicted model, not a curated record. Lineage: Eukaryota; Metazoa; Chordata; Actinopteri; Osmeriformes; Osmeridae.
CUUUAAGGAUUAAAGCUGGAAAAAUUAUGUAACAGUUAGCUAUACUUUGUAGAUAGUAAGGAUGUAUCUGAAGCCCAAAAUCUUUUUGGGAUUACACAAAAGCUUGUCUGUCAUAGUUUGUCACAGUAGGUUUGUGACUUGCACAUGCAUCCUGUAUUCAUGUAUUCAGCGCUAUGUAUUCAUGUCUGUCUGGAUGCAAUAAUUAUUUAUUCAAAAUUGUCUAUAUUGUCUAUAAUUUGAUAAGCACAUUUUGACAAAAUGUCACUAGUUAUAUUUAGCUUGGCUGAUAGAAACUAAGUCUCCAGUCUUGUGUAAAAAAAAAAAAAAAAAAAAAAAAACUCCUCUACCUUUACGCAGCUGAGCUGUUGGUGAACUGCAGUUUUCCCGGAAUCUUUCAGAUCAACUUCUAAUUCAGUACACACACUCUUCAGUCUCUGGAUUCCAGAUGCCAGAGCUUUCACCAGGUGCCAUGGAGUCCACAGACAGGAAGAGGGAUUUGGACCAACUGUCAGCACUAGUGAUGAGUGGGUGGAAGAGAUAUGUGUCUGAGUCCCCCGUUUGCAGAGGUUGAAACCCUGCCACCAGUUGGAAUUAGUCGCAAUCUUCUCUAGGUAUGUGUCUGAGAUUCACUCCUGCAAUUGUUAAGUGAAGAUAUCCAUGCAUAAAUAUCUUGAUAAAUCACGUCAGACACUGUCAGAUGGAAUAAUCCUCUUGUGACAUAAUGUUGGGACACAAACUACAUCCAGAGGAAUUGACAAUCCAGGUGUAUCAUCACUAUAACACCACCAUAGAGAUAUGUGAUACCAAUGCUGACAGCUUUGAAGAUUAUUUUACCACAGAGACUGUCCAUAUGGCCUAUCACCAACACUACGAAAGACAGGGAUUAGGAGAGCCAGGCCUCUGGAUAGGGUUAAAGAGGCCACACUGGCUUCCACAAACAAACAUGCUAUCUACAACUGCAACAGACUGACUGUCCAGCUAAUUUCUCCUGGUGGUUCAUCAUAGAUCUAGAACUUACGCAGUCUCAAGUAUUCUAAUGUCUCGGAUCCUAACAGAUAGUUUGUGAUAUGAUGAUCACCUUGUGGUGGUCCAUACAAUGGAAGGAGAGAUGGAGGGAUAUGUGUGUCUGUGAGGGCCUGUUCUGGGGUGAGAAAGGCCCCCACUGCAGACAGACUUGGAAACAGAGGACCUCUCAGUGUAUGUGUGUGUGUGUGUAAUGUUACGCACGAGUACGAGUGUGAGAGAUGUGGACUAUGUGUGUAUCUCCCUCCCCUUGCACACAGCUGUGCUGUAAGGUAAACACAGAACGUCUCCUGUCCCCGGGUUGGAGCCAGGCUCACAUAGACUCUGACGCACACAUCAGCCACGGGCCCCCCUAAAUCACUGCUGUGUUAUUGUGUUGCCAUACUGUUGGAUCAGAUGUGUGUGUAUGGUGU